UCUAUGUGAGAAGGGAAGACGGAAAGAAAUUUAGGCAAAUGAAGCCCCAAAGCGCACUGUAAUUUUCUAUCUCUGAACCGAUUUGUAAGAGAAUGGGUGAGUGAAAUUAGCAAAGAAUCGCCCCACACAAAGAUGGCGCGUGCAGAAUUUGUGAAAGCGAAAAAAAGGCGACGAAGGAGCAGCAUGAGGGACGAGACACCGCAUUGCUGGGGUGGAUUUUUGCCGCAGUAUACAUCUGCAGUCCCAGAAUCCUCGGUGAAGGCCUGGAGAACGCGCAACUCCGAUGAUGAAGAUUGACGCUGCUGUAACUGAAGCGGCCAUGAGCGUCCCUACCACGGCUGCUGCCACGGCCACCACCAUGGCCAUCGCCUCCCACCACCUUGGCCGCCCCUCCCUCGCCCUGCAGCGCACACCAGAUGCGAGCCGUCCGCCGUGGCUCUCCGCCGAAUUUGCCCAGUGGGUUCCUAGAUGACUUGUGUGUGCGAGAAUAGCCAACCAUGUAGUCUGACGAGAGGUAUUUACAACUCCUUAGCCUGUUCGGCUGGAGAGAAAUCAAAAGAUAACACCGAAGCCUGAGAUGAUGUAUUGCAAAUCAAAAGUUCCAACCCAUAAAUAGCCCACUUGGUGAACUGCUAAAUGCAAAGCGGAUCCUGAUUAUUGUCCAGUGUUUGCAGGCUGUCAAAAGAAGUAUAUUUAACUGGCGUUCUUAGAGAGUCGGGGUUUAUUGUUUAUAAAUGCAUGGAGUAAUUACUUCGUCUUACCUUUCUGCUGGGAGAGGAUUCUUCCCAAGGAGAUUCGACUAUAGCGUCCAGAGGAG
Long non-coding RNA from Myotis brandtii (Brandt's bat), 817 nucleotides. RefSeq lists it as uncharacterized. The record is from RefSeq and is a predicted model, not a curated record. Lineage: Eukaryota; Metazoa; Chordata; Mammalia; Chiroptera; Vespertilionidae. The transcript has 3 exons.